AGAGAAUAAAGUGGAAGAAUUGAUGGCAUGGAAUGUAAUGCAGAUUGUCAUAUAUUGUGCAAUAAACAUUAUUUUAUGUAAACUUACAUUCCAAGAGACUUCAUUGUUGUGAAGACACAUUCCAGGACUUCAUUGUUGUGAAGACACAUUCCAGGAGACUUCAUUGUUGUGAAGACAAUGACAUACAAACAAUGAUUGAAAUGACAUUUUAAUUUUGAAUACUGUAUAAGGAGUGUAAACACAUGCAUUUUGCAAAUGCUACUGAAUUUGUUUACUGAGAAUGCUUACCUUCAUCAUAAAAAUCCUGGUGAUAUUUUUAUGAAUUAAAUCUCUCAGUAAUUUUACUUGUAAAUAUUUUUUAUUGUUGGUUUGAUUGAAUAACCAUUAUUUAGCCCAAGAUUUAAAUUAUGGUAAGCAUUUGCCUUUGACCUUAAUUGACUAGGAUUGCCAUUUUUCUUACCAAAGGGUGGUUGUUCUUGGUAUGUAUUACAGCCUGAAAUCACCAAUGCAACAUUGUAAACAAUAUCAAUAAUUCAUGAAUCAUAUUUACAAUGAUUGUCAGUAAUUUCAUUUAAAAUAACCAGAAGUUAGCAAGAUAGAAAAAUUUACCAAACAGAAUAAGUCACUGGUACUGUAUUGUUUGAUGUCAAAGCAAUUUCUGUAAGUUGAAUACAAUGUAAAUAAACGGAAUUCAAUUCCUAUUGUUAAGCAUUUUUAUAAAGACA
Molecule: long non-coding RNA, 725 nt
Filed under: Mytilus galloprovincialis (Mediterranean mussel)
Lineage: Eukaryota; Metazoa; Mollusca; Bivalvia; Mytilida; Mytilidae
Source: RNAcentral